RNAcentral lists this unclassified non-coding RNA (329 nucleotides) under soil metagenome. RNAcentral's name for it is "partial contains 5.8S ribosomal RNA, internal transcribed spacer 2, and large subunit ribosomal RNA". The stretch from base 1 to 120 matches the Rfam family "5.8S ribosomal RNA", at positions 35 to 154 of the family's 154-position model. The record is from RNAcentral.
GAUGAAGAACGUAGCGAAAUGCGAUAAUUAAUGUGAAUUGCAGAAUUUAGUGAAUCAUCGAAUCUUUGAACGCACAUUGCGCCCCUUGGUAUUCCGAGGGGCAUGCCUGUUCGAGCGUCAUUAUAACCCCUCAAGCUCAGCUUGGUGUUGGGGCCUGCUGCACUGGCAGCCCUUAAAAUCAGUGGCGGCGCCGUCUGGCUCUAAGCGUAGUAAUUCUUCUCGCUAUGGAGUCCUGGUGGAUGCUUGCCAUCAACCCCCAAUUUUUCUAUGGUUGACCUCGGAUCAGGUAGGGAUACCCGCUGAACUUAAGCAUAUCAAUAAGCGGAGGA